GAUGAACGCUGGCGGCGUGCUUAACACAUGCAAGUCGAACGGUGAGACGCGUUGCUUGUUGGUGUGUGGUUAUGGGUGGCGAAGGGGGUAGUAACACGUUAGUAACCUUCCCCCUUCUGCUUGAUAACGGGAUGAAAGUGUUGCUAAUACGUGAUAUUCUGGAUCGGACGCAUGAUUGGUCUAGGACAGAUAUGGUGUCGGUUGUGGAUGGGUUCGCGCCGUAUCAGCUUGUUGGUGUGGUGAUGGCCUACCAAGGCGAUGACGGGUAGCCGGCCUGAGAGGGUCGACCGCACCGGAGGGAAUGAGACAUGACCACGCCUACUAGGGGCGGCAGCAGUGGGGAAUACGGCACAAUGGGAGCAAGGAUGAUGCAGCGCCGCGGCGUGAGGGAUGGUGUCCUGAGCGUUGUGAACUUCUUUUGCGAGUGAAGCAGGCCUGCAUUGUUUGUGCGUGGGUUGACGGUAGCUAGACAAGAAGCGACGGCUAACUACGUG
Molecule: ribosomal RNA, 494 nt
Filed under: uncultured bacterium
Lineage: Bacteria
Description: partial 16S ribosomal RNA
Rfam family: Bacterial small subunit ribosomal RNA
Source: RNAcentral